CCAGCGUAGACAUAUUGCCAACGAAUUUACAGUCCGUCCCCAUUAACCGCUCGGGCAUCGACCCAGAAAGAAUAAAUUCCAGGC
This 84-nucleotide transfer RNA is filed under the name Physocarpus malvaceus. RNAcentral's name for it is "tRNA-Tyr". The record is from RNAcentral. RNAcentral also lists the same sequence under 4 other names. Lineage: Eukaryota; Viridiplantae; Streptophyta; Magnoliopsida; Rosales; Rosaceae.